Molecule: ribosomal RNA, 253 nt
Filed under: uncultured bacterium
Lineage: Bacteria
Description: partial 16S ribosomal RNA
Rfam family: Bacterial small subunit ribosomal RNA
Source: RNAcentral
UACGAAGGGGGCUAGCGUUGUUCGGAAUUACUGGGCGUAAAGCGCGCGCAGGCGGUCUUCCAAGUCAGUGGUGAAAGCCCGGAGCUCAACUCCGGAACUGCCAUUGAAACUGUUGGACUUGAGUACGAGAGAGGUGAGUGGAAUUCCCAGUGUAGAGGUGAAAUUCGUAGAUAUUGGGAAGAACACCAGUGGCGAAGGCGGCUCACUGGCUCGUAACUGACGCUCAGGCGCGACAGCGUGGGGAUCAAACAGG